UCUAAGUUCAAAAUGACGGUUCUUAAUCUAAAUCCUAGCCACACCUAUGUCAUAUAUUUAUGAUAAAUGUGAAAGCUAGAUAUACAUAUAACGAAGUGUUUCAUAUCAUCAGACAUGGAUGACGAGGAGGGCUGUAUGGACAGCGUCAGUAUGGCGGAGAUGGAGGCCGCGGUCAUGAUGCAGGAAAUGUUGAUUUCGAAAGAAGCGCGUGAAACCGAAAGAGCGAACGCUAUCUUACAGGAGACGAAGAAAGCCGGGGAACAACAUAAGGUUGAAUCGACGCGCAGAAGACGUCACAGAGAGCGACACUGGCUCGACACUCAAGCCUCGGAGACAGAUUUAUAAUGUAACAAAAAAUUAUCAAUAAUUAUAAAAAUGUAGGCGCUGCCCGCGACUUUACUCUUCAAAAAAAAAAACGUGUGCGCUUUAGACCACACGAUUGAAGUAAAACUUUAUUAGUUACCCCUACAGUAAUAUACGAAACGUAACUCUCUCUCUCUUUCUGUGUUCACUAACUUAAUCUCCCUCUUAACUUCCGAUCACACUUCUCGUAACGCUCUCGUCACGCAUUCACCAGCUCACUCCCCGAGUCAAACGUGCGUAAAGAGAUUUUACUUCAAUAAUUCCGAACGGCAACACUUCGCUGUUGUCCCAACAGAGUUUGUACAACAAAAUAUUAAGAGAAUUCUUGCCUAUAUGUUACCGAUAAAUUUUAUCGACAGGAAGAAAAAUAGGACCCUCGAGUCUGUUUCAUCUGAGGAUCUUUAGCGAAUGACCUUUUUUAACGGAUGAAGUAAUGAUAAAAUAUACG
Molecule: unclassified non-coding RNA, 811 nt
Filed under: Melitaea cinxia (Glanville fritillary)
Lineage: Eukaryota; Metazoa; Arthropoda; Insecta; Lepidoptera; Nymphalidae
Description: misc RNA ENSMCXG00005020663.1
Source: RNAcentral